RNAcentral lists this ribosomal RNA (497 nucleotides) under uncultured bacterium. RNAcentral's name for it is "partial 16S ribosomal RNA". It matches the Rfam family "Bacterial small subunit ribosomal RNA", at positions 28 to 507 of the family's 1533-position model. The record is from RNAcentral.
GAUGAACGCUGGCGGCGUGCCUAAUACAUGCAAGUCGAGCGAACAGACGAGGAGCUUGCUCCUCUGACGUUAGCGGCGGACGGGUGAGUAACACGUGGAUAACCUACCUAUAAGACUGGGAUAACUUCGGGAAACCGGAGCUAAUACCGGAUAAUAUAUUGAACCGCAUGGUUCAAUAGUGAAAGACGGUUUUGCUGUCACUUAUAGAUGGAUCCGCGCCGCAUUAGCUAGUUGGUAAGGUAACGGCUUACCAAGCCAACGAUGCGUAGCCGACCUGAGAGGGUGAUCGGCCACACUGGAACUGAGACACGGUCCAGACUCCUACGGGAGGCAGCAGUAGGGAAUCUUCCGCAAUGGGCGAAAGCCUGACGGAGCAACGCCGCGUGAGUGAUGAAGGUCUUCGGAUCGUAAAACUCUGUUAUUAGGGAAGAACAAAUGUGUAAGUAACUAUGCACGUCUUGAUGGUACCUAAUCAGAAAGCCACGGCUAACUACGUG